AACGAACGCUGGCGGCAUGCCUAACACAUGCAAGUCGAACGAGACCUUCGGGUCUAGUGGCGCACGGGUGCGUAACGCGUGGGAACCUGCCCUUAGGUUCGGAAUAACUCCCCGAAAGGGGUGCUAAUACCGGAUAAUGUCUUCGGACCAAAGAUUUAUCGCCUUUGGAUGGGCCCGCGUUGGAUUAGCUAGUUGGUAGGGUAAAAGCCUACCAAGGCGACGAUCCAUAGCUGGUCUGAGAGGAUGAUCAGCCACACUGGGACUGAGACACGGCCCAGACGGCCACGGGAGGAAGCAGUUGGGAGUAUUGGAAAAUGGGCGAAAGCCUGAUCCAGCAAUGCCGCGUGAGUGAGGAAGGCAUUAGGGUUGUAAAGCUCUGUUACCCGGGAUGAUAAUGACAGUAACGGGAGAAGAAGCUCCGGCUAACUCCGUG
This 433-nucleotide ribosomal RNA is filed under the name uncultured bacterium. RNAcentral's name for it is "partial 16S ribosomal RNA". It matches the Rfam family "Bacterial small subunit ribosomal RNA", at positions 29 to 507 of the family's 1533-position model. The record is from RNAcentral.